RNAcentral lists this long non-coding RNA (253 nucleotides) under Selaginella moellendorffii. RNAcentral's name for it is "long non-coding RNA (SMOE_LNC001067)". Lineage: Eukaryota; Viridiplantae; Streptophyta; Lycopodiopsida; Selaginellales; Selaginellaceae. The record is from RNAcentral.
GAAGGGUAAGGCCCGAUUAGAGGAGGCCUUGGGUCAGUGGUACAAUACUAUAGACAGUUUUGUCGACCAACUCAUAAAACAAGCGAAGGAGUCUGUACAGAAGAAGUAAACAUUCGAGGUAAUCUUAUGAUUCAAGAAUUAAAAUGAAUUGCUAGCAGAUUGUGUACAGUUUGAGAAUGCAAGAGGAGUUUCCAGCAGAGCUCAGUUACAAACGAGCUAGCUGCCGAACGUUUAUGGGCUCAACUACAGACUG